GGAGAGAUGGCUCAGCGGUUAAGAGCACUGGCUUCUCUUCCAGAAGUCCUGAGUUCAAUUCUCAGCUACUACA
Molecule: transfer RNA, 73 nt
Filed under: Mus musculus (house mouse)
Lineage: Eukaryota; Metazoa; Chordata; Mammalia; Rodentia; Muridae
Rfam family: tRNA
About the family: Transfer RNA (tRNA) molecules are approximately 80 nucleotides in length. Their secondary structure includes four short double-helical elements and three loops (D, anti-codon, and T loops).
Source: Rfam by way of RNAcentral